RNAcentral lists this non-coding RNA (263 nucleotides) under Vitreoscilla filiformis. Lineage: Bacteria; Pseudomonadati; Pseudomonadota; Betaproteobacteria; Neisseriales; Neisseriaceae. The record is from RNAcentral.
ACACUCCGCCCCGCUUCAGGUGCCCCAAGCCGCGCUGUUUCAGCGCAGCCCAGGGUGAAACGGGAAGCCGGUGAAAACCCGGCGCUGCCCCCGCAACGGUAAGCGAGAGACCUGGAACGCAUCAGCUCGGUCGGCCCCUUGGCCACCCGCCCCAACCACUGUGCCGCACGGCAUGGGAAGGUGGAUGCGCUCCGGCAGGUGAGCCCUCAACGGCCCGCCGCCCCUCGCCGAGCCCGGAGACCGGCCUGCAAGCGCAAAGCUGC